CUACAACUCCCUCUUCUAUUCAGCCCCUUGAAACCAUUUUUAACUCAAUCCCACUCGUGACCUCUGAACAAAUGGGACGAUUUUAUUAUGAAUAUUCAUAAUACCCUCCUUUGAGCAUUGUUACAAAUUAAUAACAUUUAUUGCAUCUAAUUGAUAUUUUAACAACAUGCAUAUGAACAAGACGUUAAUUAAUGUUAACACAGAUGAUUUCCAUUGCUAAUUAACAUAAAAAAAUAACAAUAGAACACUGAACAAAUCAAGCUUCUACUUGGAAUAUAAAAAUUAAUUAUUAACACCAUAAAGAAAAAAAUAAAAUGACGAUUUUGAGUUCUUGAAGUUUGAUGAGGAUGAAUAAAAUGACGGCAACGAUGAUGAGGAAGUUGAUGUUGCAGUAGAAGACAUUGAAGAUGAUGGUGAGACACGAGUCUUUCUACCAUUUUGAGCGGUGAGCUUAGGGAAGAUAGUGCUGAAGAGGUUCUGUUUUAUUGAUUUCUUGUGCAUAGAUUUUGAUUUUGAAGUGGAAUGGUAUGAAGGAGGAGGUGUUAAAGGAGGAAUAGAGGUAUCAGCAAAAGUGUGCUUAGGAGUACCUGGACUUGACUCCCACAUGAAUGGAAUUGCACCUGAAGUUCCUCCAUAGUAAACCC
Molecule: unclassified non-coding RNA, 644 nt
Filed under: Hevea brasiliensis (rubber tree)
Lineage: Eukaryota; Viridiplantae; Streptophyta; Magnoliopsida; Malpighiales; Euphorbiaceae
Source: RNAcentral